This 75-nucleotide microRNA precursor is filed under the name Oryzias latipes (Japanese medaka). RNAcentral describes it as "mir-205 microRNA precursor family". It matches the Rfam family "mir-205 microRNA precursor family". The record is from Rfam by way of RNAcentral. RNAcentral also lists the same sequence under 3 other names. Lineage: Eukaryota; Metazoa; Chordata; Actinopteri; Beloniformes; Adrianichthyidae.
GUCUUCUAUCCUUCAUUCCACCGGAGUCUGUAUAGAGUGCCACUCAGAUUUCAGUGGAUUGAAGAGUAAGAAACA